This 447-nucleotide ribosomal RNA is filed under the name uncultured bacterium. RNAcentral describes it as "bacterial SSU rRNA". It matches the Rfam family "Bacterial small subunit ribosomal RNA", at positions 28 to 465 of the family's 1533-position model. The record is from RNAcentral.
GACGAACGCUGGCGGCGUGCCUAAUACAUGCAAGUAGAACGCUGAAGAGAGGAGCUUGCUCUUCUUGGAUGAGUUGCGAACGGGUGAGUAACGCGUAGGUAACCUGCCUUGUAGCGGGGGAUAACUAUUGGAAACGAUAGCUAAUACCGCAUAACAAUGGAUGACACAUGUCAUUUAUUUGAAAGGGGCAAUUGCUCCACUACAAGAUGGACCUGCGUUGUAUUAGCUAGUAGGUGAGGUAAUGGCUCACCUAGGCGACGAUACAUAGCCGACCUGAGAGGGUGAUCGGCCACACUGGGACUGAGACACGGCCCAGACUCCUACGGGAGGCAGCAGUAGGGAAUCUUCGGCAAUGGGGGCAACCCUGACCGAGCAACGCCGCGUGAGUGAAGAAGGUUUUCGGAUCGUAAAGCUCUGUUGUAAGUCAAGAACGGGUGUGAGAGUGGA